ACGGGUGAGUAACACGUGGGUAACCUGCCCUGUACUCUGGGAUAAGCCUUGGAAACGAGGUCUAAUACCGGAUACGACCUUCUAUCGCAUGGUGGAGGGUGGAAAGUUCCGGCGGUAUGGGAUGGACCCGCGGCCUAUCAGCUUGUUGGUGGGGUAAUGGCCUACCAAGGCGACGACGGGUAGCCGGCCUGAGAGGGUGACCGGCCACACUGGGACUGAGACACGGCCCAGACUCCUACGGGAGGCAGCAGUGGGGAAUAUUGCACAAUGGGCGAAAGCCUGAUGCAGCGACGCCGCGUGAGGGAUGACGGCCUUCGGGUUGUAAACCUCUUUCAGCAGGGACGAAGCGCAAGUGACGGUACCUGCAGAAGAAGCACCGGCUAACUACGUGCCAGCAGCCGCGGUAAUACGUAGGGUGCGAGCGUUGUCCGGAAUUAUUGGGCGUAAAGAGCUCGUAGGCGGUUUGUCGCGUCGGCCGUGAAAACUUGGGGCUUAACCCCGAGCCUGCGGUCGAUACGGGCAGACUUGAGUUCGGCAGGGGAGACUGGAAUUCCUGGUGUAGCGGUGAAAUGCGCAGA
This 578-nucleotide ribosomal RNA is filed under the name Pseudonocardiaceae bacterium RDB-167. RNAcentral describes it as "bacterial SSU rRNA". It matches the Rfam family "Bacterial small subunit ribosomal RNA", at positions 102 to 694 of the family's 1533-position model. Lineage: Bacteria; Bacillati; Actinomycetota; Actinomycetes; Pseudonocardiales; Pseudonocardiaceae. The record is from RNAcentral.